ACUUAAGCAUAUCCAUAAGCGGAGGAAAAGAAACUAACAAGGAUUCCCCUAGUAACUGNGAGUGAAGCGGGAAAAGCUCAAAUUUUAAAUCUGGCAGUCUGUGACUGUCCGAGUUGUAAUCUAGAGAAGUGUUAUCCGCGCUGGACCGUGUACAAGUCUCCUGGAAUGGAGCGUCACAGAGGGUGAGAAUCCCGUCUUUGACACGGACUGCCAGGGCUUUUGUGAUACGCUCUCAAAGAGUCGAGUUGUUUGGGAAUGCAGCUCAAAAUGGGUGGUAAAUUCCAUCUAAAGCUAAAUAUUGGCGAGAGACCGAUAGCGAACAAGUACCGUGAGGGAAAGAUGAAAAGAACUUUGGAAAGAGAGUUAAAACAGUGCGUGAAAUUGCUGAAAGGGAAACGCUUGAAGUCAGUCACGUCGUCCAGGGAUCAACCUUGCUUUUGCCAGGUGCAUUUUCUGGUUGACGGGUCAGUAUCAAUUUUGAUCGUUGGAAAAAGAUUAGGGGAAUGUGGCAUCUUUGGAUGUGUUAUAGCCCUUGGUUGCAUACAACGGUUGGGAUUGAGGAACUCAGCAUGCCGCAAGGCCGGGUUUUGAACCACG
RNAcentral lists this ribosomal RNA (597 nucleotides) under uncultured Corticiaceae. Its description in RNAcentral is "eukaryotic LSU rRNA". It matches the Rfam family "Eukaryotic large subunit ribosomal RNA", at positions 32 to 635 of the family's 3401-position model. The record is from RNAcentral. Lineage: Eukaryota; Fungi; Basidiomycota; Agaricomycetes; Corticiales; Corticiaceae.